Long non-coding RNA from Vicia villosa (hairy vetch), 301 nucleotides. RefSeq lists it as uncharacterized. The transcript has 3 exons. The record is from RefSeq and is a predicted model, not a curated record. NCBI's taxonomy places the organism in Eukaryota, Viridiplantae, Streptophyta, Magnoliopsida, Fabales, Fabaceae.
UGUUGAGGUUCCUGGAUCUUCAAAACAGAGCCUGGUAUCCUUUGGAAGGGGCCGAAACUGAUCAUUAUCAUUGUUGUUGAAAUAGGGUUUCAAAAGCGAGACAUGUACAACCGGAUGAAUCCUCGAUGACGACGGAAGGUCUAACAUGGCUGUAACUUCAACAAGACCAGAUCACCAAUUGCAAAGGAGGUGGCUAAUGAUUCGUCGUGGAUGGUGUCGGUCACAUAAGCUUGAAUGUUUGGGGGAUCCCUGCCGUAAAGUGCUUUGAACGGAGUCAUGUGGAUCGCCGUGUGGAAAGAAG